CGCCUCCUGCAAAAAUCAAUGUAUAGGAGGUCCUGCCUGCCCAGUGAUAAAUUAAACGGCCGCGGUAUUUUGACCGUGCAAAGGUAGCGCAAUCACUUGUCUUUUAAAUGAAGACCCGUAUGAAUGGUGGAACGAGGGCUUAACUGUCUCCCCUCUCAAGUCAAUGAAAUUGAUCUAUCCGUGCAGAAGCGGACAUAAUAAUACAAGACGAGAAGACCCUUUGGAGCUUAAGAUAAAAAAUCAAUUAUGUCAAGAACCUCAAAAAUAAGUUAAACCAAAUACACCUGAUUUCAUAUCUUCGGUUGGGGCGACCGCGGGAGAAAACAAAGCUCCCACGCGGAUUGGGGUAAAACCCUAAAGCCAAGAAAGACAUUUCUAAGACACAAAACAUUUGACCAAAAGAUCCGGCAAACUCGCCGAUCAACGGACCAAGUUACCCUAGGGAUAACAGCGCAAUCCCCUUCCAGAGUCCAUAUCGACAAGGGGGUUUACGACCUCGAUGUUGGAUCAGGACAUCCUAAUGGUGCAGCCGCUAUUAAGGGUUCGUUUGUUCAACGAUUAAAGUCCU
RNAcentral lists this ribosomal RNA (568 nucleotides) under Rita gogra. RNAcentral's name for it is "partial 16S ribosomal RNA". It matches the Rfam family "Bacterial large subunit ribosomal RNA", at positions 1816 to 2597 of the family's 2925-position model. The record is from RNAcentral. Lineage: Eukaryota; Metazoa; Chordata; Actinopteri; Siluriformes; Bagridae.